RNAcentral lists this long non-coding RNA (341 nucleotides) under Homo sapiens (human). RNAcentral describes it as "HSALNT0225458". Lineage: Eukaryota; Metazoa; Chordata; Mammalia; Primates; Hominidae. The record is from RNAcentral.
GUUUUAGACUGCAAGGGAAAAUUGGUGAAUGGAGUUAGCAUAGAGGGCAGCUGCCUGGCUAUAGUUUGGGAUUUCUUCUGAGCUGAAGCAGAAGGAAAGAUUUAGCAACUGUUUGUCGUGGCAGAAAAUCAUCUCUGAUCGUUUGUGGGGCAGAGGAUUGGAGUCAAGAAGAUAUAGACAAUUUCAAACGAGAAAUCCUGACCUGUGUUGUGUGGAGCUGUGUUUGCUUGAUGAACCUGUUAUAACUCCAUCCACCUUCACUCCAAGGAAGAAUGAACAUCUUCCUGUUUGGACUUGGAGUUGUGUGAAAUCACUGAUAAGAUGCUGAAGGGUCUCCAUUU